RNAcentral lists this transfer RNA (91 nucleotides) under Vibrio chagasii. Its description in RNAcentral is "tRNA-Ser". It matches the Rfam family "tRNA". Rfam says of the family: Transfer RNA (tRNA) molecules are approximately 80 nucleotides in length. Their secondary structure includes four short double-helical elements and three loops (D, anti-codon, and T loops). Further hydrogen bonds mediate the characteristic L-shaped molecular structure. tRNAs have two regions of fundamental functional importance: the anti-codon, which is responsible for specific mRNA codon recognition, and the 3' end, to which the tRNAs corresponding amino acid is attached (by aminoacyl-tRNA synthetases). tRNAs cope with the degeneracy of the genetic code in two manners: having more than one tRNA (with a specific anti-codon) for a particular amino acid; and 'wobble' base-pairing, i.e. permitting non-standard base-pairing at the 3rd anti-codon position. Lineage: Bacteria; Pseudomonadati; Pseudomonadota; Gammaproteobacteria; Vibrionales; Vibrionaceae. The record is from RNAcentral.
GGAGGGAUGGCUGAGUGAUCGAAAGCACCGGUCUUGAAAACCGGCAACCGUUAAUAGCGGUUCUAGGGUUCAAAUCCCUAUCCCUCCACCA